Molecule: ribosomal RNA, 310 nt
Filed under: Salmonella enterica subsp. enterica
Lineage: Bacteria; Pseudomonadati; Pseudomonadota; Gammaproteobacteria; Enterobacterales; Enterobacteriaceae
Also listed under: 1 other name
Description: bacterial SSU rRNA
Rfam family: Bacterial small subunit ribosomal RNA
Source: RNAcentral
AAAUUGAAGAGUUUGAUCAUGGCUCAGAUUGAACGCUGGCGGCAGGCCUAACACAUGCAAGUCGAACGGUAACAGGAAGCAGCUUGCUGCUUUGCUGACGAGUGGCGGACGGGUGAGUAAUGUCUGGGAAACUGCCUGAUGGAGGGGGAUAACUACUGGAAACGGUGGCUAAUACCGCAUAACGUCGCAAGACCAAAGAGGGGGACCUUCGGGCCUCUUGCCAUCAGAUGUGCCCAGAUGGGAUUAGCUUGUUGGUGAGGUAACGGCUCACCAAGGCGACGAUCCCUAGCUGGUCUGAGAGGAUGAUCAG